Molecule: ribosomal RNA, 380 nt
Filed under: uncultured eukaryote
Lineage: Eukaryota
Description: partial 18S ribosomal RNA
Rfam family: Eukaryotic small subunit ribosomal RNA
Source: RNAcentral
CAAUAGCGUAUAUUAAAGUUGUUGCGGUUAAAAAGCUCGUAGUUGGAUUUCUGCUGAGGACGAUCGGUCCGCCCUCUGGGUGAGUAUCUGGCUCGGCCUUGGCAUCUUCUUGGAGAACGUUACUGCACUUGACUGUGUGGUGCGGUAUCCAGGACUUUUACUUUGAGGAAAUUAGAGUGUUUCAAGCAGGCGCACGCCUUGAAUACAUUAGCAUGGAAUAAUAAGAUAGGACCUUGGUUCUAUUUUGUUGGUUUCUAGAGCUGAGGUAAUGAUUAAUAGGGAUAGUUGGGGGCAUUCGUAUUUAACUGUCAGAGGUGAAAUUCUUGGGUUUGUUAAAGACGGACUACUGCGAAAGCAUUUGCCAAGGAUGUUUUCAUUGA